Panthera leo (lion) is the source of this 113-nucleotide ribosomal RNA. The record is from Ensembl. NCBI's taxonomy places the organism in Eukaryota, Metazoa, Chordata, Mammalia, Carnivora, Felidae.
GUCUAUGGCCAUACCACCCUGAACGCGCCCGAUCUCGUCUGAUCUCGGAAGCUAAGCAGGGUCGGGCCUGGUUAGUACUUGGAUGGGAGAGAAGACCAGCAGGUGGCCAGUCC